GAUGAACGCUAGCUACAGGCUUAACACAUGCAAGUCGAGGGGAAACGACAUCGAAAGCUUGCUUUUGAUGGGCGUCGACCGGCGCACGGGUGAGUAACGCGUAUCCAACCUGCCCACCACUUGGGGAUAACCUUGCGAAAGUAAGACUAAUACCCAAUGAUAUCUCUAGAAGACAUCUGAAAGAGAUUAAAGAUUUAUCGGUGAUGGAUGGGGAUGCGUCUGAUUAGCUUGUUGGCGGGGUAACGGCCCACCAAGGCUACGAUCAGUAGGGGGGCUGAGAGGAAGGUCCCCCACAUUGGAACUGAGACACGGUCCAAACUCCUACGGGAGGCAGCAGUGAGGAAUAUUAGUCAAUGGGCGAGAGCCUGAACCAGCCAAGUAGCGUGCAGGAUGACGGCCCUAUGGGUUGUAAACUGCUUUUAUAAGGGAAUAAAGUGAGCCUCGUGAGGCUUUUUGCAUGUACCUUAUGAAUAAGGACCGGCUAAUUCCGUGCCAGCAGCCGCCGUAA
RNAcentral lists this ribosomal RNA (508 nucleotides) under uncultured bacterium. RNAcentral describes it as "partial 16S ribosomal RNA". It matches the Rfam family "Bacterial small subunit ribosomal RNA", at positions 28 to 523 of the family's 1533-position model. The record is from RNAcentral.